GAGCAAAUAUGUUGAUGUUCAAAUGACUAUUGAUUGCCUAUAGAAUAUGCUUUCUGGUUUCAUUUAAAUGUAUGGAGUUAAGUGAGACCCAAGAUGGUACAUUAGAGUAAAGCCACACUGACUUCAGCCACAGAAAGACAUUGGCGCAAUAAAGGAUGGGUCACUAUCAGGGGAUUGAGAGACACGUUCAGUGGAGAAGGCACUGAAGAGAAAACAACUGUAGGGAAAGCACCAUCUUCACGUGGCUGGGUGAGAGGAGCUGCCGCAGCCCCUGAUUCUGGCUAUGUUUGAAUGAGGGAGAAUUCCGCAGUCCCCAUUGCCUUCAAGUGCAUUCUUGGGAGCUGGCAGGGGUUUGCCAUCUACUUUGCUCUUUGAAAGGGAGGCCUCGUAGCCUCCCACCCUUUUCCCACCAACGCACCAGACACAAUGGACUGAUGUGGAUGUGUAUCUGCCCUUUGUCCUGACUGAGGAACAAUGGGUAGUUAUGGUGAUGCCAGGGCCAGGAUGGGGGAGCUCGCAGUGUGGAGAGUGCGCCCCUGCACUCUCAUGAUGACGUGAGUUCUAGGCUUAUGUUAUGUAGCUGAGAGAGAAAUGAGUUGUAGCUGAUUUCCUGCUCACCUCACCAGUCUGUGGAAAAAUAUGGGCUCCUUGCAUGCUAUAGACAGAACUUGCCGAAGAGCUGAGGGACAGAAAAUGGAGUAAGCCUGUGCUCUGUGUUUUUUGUGUGCCUGGGUGGGUUGGUUGUGCUGGCACCAUGAGGUUACUCUGGACUGUGAAUCAGCCAAUUCACCCAGCACAGUGUGCUGGAGGAUGUGGGCCUCUCAAGGGGUGGCUUAGCCCACUGUGCCACGUCUGUGAUGAUGAAGAGCGCCUGUGUGUUAAAUGUGUGUCUACACAUCCUGUGCAGUCCUGGUUUUCAGUUACAGCAUCUCAUUUCUUUCCUGGCAGCAUCUAAAGUGAUCUGUGAGGAUUUUUUCUCUUUAUGAACUCUUAGAUUUAAGAAUAGUGCUUCAAUUUGUUGUCAUAUUUUCCUUACUGAUGAUCAAACUGUCCUGUCUUUAGCCAAUGUUCUGUUCUCUGACUUUAACUGCUCCUCUGUGUUUCUUCCCUACUCCUCCUAGGUAUGGAAUUUUUGGUAUUUCAUAAUUUUUCAUGUAUUGGUCAUACAAAGAUAUCCUUCAACCCUGGUCACAUGGCAGCUACUGAGCAAGGAUUCCAAGCAUAAAUUUGUGCAAAAUGGACCCAAUCACUGCAUCAAACAGCUCAAAGCUAACAGGUGAGCCAGACUCCAAUAAACUAUUCAUACAUAGGUGUGAAAGGUGGGAA
Molecule: long non-coding RNA, 1326 nt
Filed under: Oryctolagus cuniculus (rabbit)
Lineage: Eukaryota; Metazoa; Chordata; Mammalia; Lagomorpha; Leporidae
Description: lncRNA (ENSOCUG00000033363.1)
Source: RNAcentral